RNAcentral lists this microRNA precursor (84 nucleotides) under Bombyx mori (domestic silkworm). RNAcentral describes it as "mir-2807 microRNA precursor family". It matches the Rfam family "mir-2807 microRNA precursor family". Lineage: Eukaryota; Metazoa; Arthropoda; Insecta; Lepidoptera; Bombycidae. The record is from Rfam by way of RNAcentral.
UUAGCUCGUAUUUGCAUAGAAUGGGAACGUUUGCCUGCGUUUGCCGCUAGGGGCGCUGUUCUAACUGCAUACAAAUUUGAGUUA